Molecule: transfer RNA, 71 nt
Filed under: Daphnia pulex (common water flea)
Lineage: Eukaryota; Metazoa; Arthropoda; Branchiopoda; Diplostraca; Daphniidae
Rfam family: tRNA
About the family: Transfer RNA (tRNA) molecules are approximately 80 nucleotides in length. Their secondary structure includes four short double-helical elements and three loops (D, anti-codon, and T loops).
Source: Rfam by way of RNAcentral
GCCUGGCUAGCAGUCGGUAGAGCAUGAGACUCUUAAUCUCAGGGUCGGGGGUUCGAGCCUCCCGUUGGGCG